AGCAGCCGCGGUAAUUCCAGCUCCAAUAGCGUAUAUUAAAGUUGUUGCAGUUAAAAAGCUCGUAGUUGAAUUUCGGGGUCAGUAGAUUGGUCGUGCCACUGGUAUGUACUGGUCUCACUGGCUCCUCCUUCCUGAUGAACCGUAAUGCCAUUAAUUUGGUGUUGCGGGGAGACUGGACUGUUACUUUGAAAAAAUUGGAGUGUUUAAAGCAGGCUAACGCUUGAAUACAUUAGCAUGGAAUAAUAGAAUAGGACGGUGGUCCUGUUUUGUUGGUUUCUGAAUCACCGUAAUGAUUAAUAGGGAUAGUUGGGGGCAUUAGUAUUCAAUUGUCAGAGGUGAAAUUCUUGGAUUUAU
This 354-nucleotide ribosomal RNA is filed under the name uncultured Glomeraceae. RNAcentral's name for it is "SSU rRNA". It matches the Rfam family "Eukaryotic small subunit ribosomal RNA", at positions 569 to 929 of the family's 1831-position model. Lineage: Eukaryota; Fungi; Glomeromycota; Glomeromycetes; Glomerales; Glomeraceae. The record is from RNAcentral.